GUACUGGAGGACACAUGCCGGCGGCAGGACUUCAACCCCAGUGAAUACGAUCUGAAGUUUCAGAGGACCGUGCUUGACCUGUCUCUCCAGUGGAGAUUUGCCAACCUGCCUAACAAUGCCAAGCUGGAGAUGGUGCCUGUGUCCCGGAGCCGAGAGGGACCCGAGAACAUGGUUCGAAUUGCAUUACAACUGGAUGAUGGCUCCAGGUUGCAGGACACUUUUUGUUCCCGCCAGACCCUCUGGGAGCUUCUCAGCCAUUUUGUACAGACCAGGGAGCGUCUGCAGCAUCUGGGUGAGAGGACCCCUGUUUGUGUGUACAUGAGGGAUGAGGUGACUGGUAGAACUGCCUUGCAGAAUACAACGCUUCAGUCACUGGGCCUAACAGGCGGUAGUGCCACCAUCAGGUUUGUCAUAAAGCAGUGUGACACCGUGGGCAAACAGGAGCCCAUUGCAGUCAGGAGCAAGGCCCCAGGAAGUCCAAUCUCCUCCAUGUCAGCUGACCAGGCAUCUAGCAGCCCCUUGCUUCCUUUGAACUCUGGGGAGUUCAGCAGGGGAGACCUGAACCAUCAGGGUGAUGCAAACACCUCAGAGGCCAGCCUUGGGAGUGGCCCAAAGCCAGCAGAUGCUCAGACAAAGCAAAGCACAAAGGAGUCUGCAUCUGCCCCUUUCGUUCCCUUCUCUGGUGGGGGGCAGCGGCUGGGGGGCCCUUCUGGGUCCUUGAGAUCUCUGACAUCACAUUCAGCCAAGUCUCUCAAGUCUUCCUCUGGCUCUGGAGGCCCUUCUAAGCCCAAGAAGUCAAAGCCUGGUGAGGAGCCCCAGCAGGAGCCUGAACCGCCCGUUGAUCGAGACCCUGUAGUGUGCCACCCUGAUCUGGAGGACUUGCUACAGCCCUGGCCAGCAGAGGUGCCUGACGAGUUCUUUGAAGUGACCGUGGAUGAUGUGAGGAGACGCCUGGCCCAGCUCAAGAGUGAGCGGAAGCGCCUGGAAGAAGCCCCCUUAGUGACCAAGGCCUUCAGGGAAGCACAGAUGAAAGAAAAACUGGAACGCUACCCAAAGGUGGCGCUGAGGGUCCUCUUCCCUGACCGUUACAUCCUGCAGGGCUUCUUCCGCCCUAGUGAGACAGUGGGGGACCUUCGAGACUUUGUUAGGAGCCACCUGGGGAAUCCUGAGCUCUCCUUUUACCUGUUCAUCGCUCCUCCCAAAAUGGUCCUGGAUGACCACACACUGACUCUCUUUCAGGCGCCGGCUCUCUUCCUUCAUCUCUGCCCCUCCCUACCUCCCUGGCCAGCCUGUUGAUAAACAUUGAAUCUGGAAGACGCUUUGGGAUUGAGGGCCAGUGCCCAGUCCCCUCCCCCAGUCGGGAUUCAUAUGCACCACCACCCCCAAAGCCCCAGGGUGCCUCUCAUCCGCCUUUGCCUGAUUCCUGGUGACACGCUGCCCCUGCUACCAGCAGUCUCCUUUCAUCGUCAGCUCUGUCUGGAGCCACAGGGCCUCCCAAGGGGUGGCAUCCCUGCCUGCUGCUGAGGGAAAGAGGCCUGCCCCCUCUGGGAGGCAAACCUCUUCCCUGCUGCCCUUGUACACUUUGGAGCUGAAGAACCAGCAGGUCUCUACCUGGAACCUGGACUGCUAGAACACACCGUCUCCCCAUCUGCAGCUGAUGUGCUGGUGGCCAG
This is a non-coding RNA of Cricetulus griseus (Chinese hamster), 1673 nucleotides long. NCBI's taxonomy places the organism in Eukaryota, Metazoa, Chordata, Mammalia, Rodentia, Cricetidae. The record is from RefSeq and is a predicted model, not a curated record.